This 254-nucleotide ribosomal RNA is filed under the name uncultured bacterium. RNAcentral describes it as "partial 16S ribosomal RNA". It matches the Rfam family "Bacterial small subunit ribosomal RNA", at positions 524 to 776 of the family's 1533-position model. The record is from RNAcentral.
UACAGAGGUCUCAAGCGUUGUUCGGAAUCACUGGGCGUAAAGGGCGCGUAGGCGGCCCGCACAAGUCUGCGGUGAAAACCCCCGGCUUAACCGGGGGCCGGCCGUGGAAACUGUCGGGCUAGAGGCCGGGAGAGGGCAGCGGAAUUCCCGGUGUAGCGGUGAAAUGCGUAGAGAUCGGGAGGAACACCGGCGGCGAAGGCGGCUGCCUGGACCGGCCCUGACGCUGAGGCGCGAAAGCUAGGGGAGCAAACAGG